AACGAACGCUGGCGGCAUGCCUAACACAUGCAAGUCGAACGAUUGCCUUCGGGUGAUAGUGGCGCACGGGUGCGUAACGCGUGGGAAUCUGCCCUUAGGUUCGGAAUAACAGCUGGAAACGGCUGCUAAUACCGGAUGAUAUCGCGAGAUCAAAGAUUUAUCGCCUGAGGAUGAGCCCGCGUUGGAUUAGGUAGUUGGUGGGGUAAAGGCCUACCAAGCCGACGAUCCAUAGCUGGUCUGAGAGGAUGAUCAGCCACACUGGGACUGAGACACGGCCCAGACUCCUACGGGAGGCAGCAGUGGGGAAUAUUGGACAAUGGGCGCAAGCCUGAUCCAGCAAUGCCGUGUGAGUGAUGAAGGCCCUAGAGUUGUAAAGCUCUUUUACCCGGGAAGAUAAUGACUGUACCGGGAGAAUAAGCCCCGGCUAACUCCGUG
Molecule: ribosomal RNA, 435 nt
Filed under: uncultured bacterium
Lineage: Bacteria
Description: partial 16S ribosomal RNA
Rfam family: Bacterial small subunit ribosomal RNA
Source: RNAcentral